GGAAACAUUGGAAAUACGACAGGAGUGAAGUAAGAAAACAAAGUAAUGAAAAAUACAGAAAAGUUGUAGGAAGUAGUGUUUGGAACGCAGGAAUAUAGGGGUGUUCGGAUCUCCGGACUAAAUUUUAGUCCCUAUCACAUCGAAUGUUUGGACACUAAUUAAGAGUAUUAAACAUAUGCUAAUUACAAAAUCAAUUUUCAACUUCUAGGCUAAAUCGCGUGACGAAUCCAUUAAGCCUAAUUAGUCCAUGAUUUGACAAUAUGGUGCUACAGUAAACAUUCGCUAAUGAUGGAUUAAUUAGGCUUAAUAGAUUCGUCUCGCGAUUUAGCCUAGGGAUUCUGCAAUUAGUUUUGUAAUUAGCUCAUGUUUAAUCCUCCUAAUUAGCAUCCGAAUAUCCGACAUGACACGGACUAAAUUUUAGCUCCAGGAUCCAAACACCCCCUAAAGGAUCAAGAUGUUUAGUCCCGUCUGGAAUGUGGGAAUUGCACAGGAAAUUCGCAGGAUCGGUUCUAGAGGAAGCGUGUAUGGAACGAGGGAACGACGCCUUCCGUUCCGGAGGAAAGGGUGCAGUCUCUAGUCAAGUCAAAACACAGGAAUCAGAAAAUCCAAUCCGACCCAAGGGAAAGCACUACUAGAACCCCCCC
RNAcentral lists this long non-coding RNA (644 nucleotides) under Setaria viridis. RNAcentral's name for it is "long non-coding RNA (SVIR_LNC004076)". The record is from RNAcentral. Lineage: Eukaryota; Viridiplantae; Streptophyta; Magnoliopsida; Poales; Poaceae.